UACGAAGGGGGCUAGCGUUGCUCGGAAUCACUGGGCGUAAAGCGUGCGCAGGCGGUUUCUUAAGUCAGAUGUGAAAGCCCCGGGCUUAACCUGGGAACUGCGUUUGAAACUGGGAGACUUGAGUGUGGCAGAGGGGGGUGGAAUUCCACGUGUAGCAGUGAAAUGCGUAGAUAUGUGGAGGAACACCGAUGGCGAAGGCAGCCCCCUGGGUUAACACUGACGCUCAUGCACGAAAGCGUGGGGAGCAAACAGG
This 253-nucleotide ribosomal RNA is filed under the name uncultured bacterium. RNAcentral's name for it is "partial 16S ribosomal RNA". It matches the Rfam family "Bacterial small subunit ribosomal RNA", at positions 524 to 776 of the family's 1533-position model. The record is from RNAcentral.